RNAcentral lists this small nucleolar RNA (67 nucleotides) under Anabas testudineus (climbing perch). Its description in RNAcentral is "Small nucleolar RNA SNORD58 (ENSATEG00000023400.2)". It matches the Rfam family "Small nucleolar RNA SNORD58". Rfam says of the family: snoRNA U58 is found in introns 1, 3 and 6 of the ribosomal protein RPL17 gene in humans. U58 is a member of the C/D class of snoRNA which contain C (UGAUGA) and D (CUGA) box motifs. Lineage: Eukaryota; Metazoa; Chordata; Actinopteri; Anabantiformes; Anabantidae. The record is from Rfam by way of RNAcentral.
UUGCAGUGAUGACCAUUUAGGACACCUUUGUAUUACCCAUGAAAAGACGGUAUCAAGUCUGAGCAAU